ACACAGACAGGAAUUCGCUUUAAUUAAUGCUGCUUUUUGCGCCAAUGCAAUUAUCUAUCCAUCUAUGUAGUUUGCCGGCCCCGCACGUUUAAUUACCCUUAAUCAAUUUAUUGCCAAUUAUUCUACAAAAAGCGCCAACGAAAAUUGUAUAAUUUAAUUAAGUUAGCAAAAGGUUUUUAUGUGUCGCUUUGCCAUUCGACAUCCACCCCAACAUCUUAACAGUCUUGACUACCCCCGUCGACAGCGUCUUGUUUCCACUCCACAGACCCAACCAAGAAGUUCAGGUUUAGAUUGAGCGCUUGCCAUAGUCAAUUUGCUCGGCUUCGUCUUGUUCUUGCUCCUGCCUUACACAUUUUACAAUUUACACAUUUCGCCUUUGUAUUUGCCAAUUGGCGCUGAUUAAAGCCUUCUUAGUCAUUGGCCCACAAUUAAGAGAUGCCUCAUUGUGCCCUAAUCAGAGCAAGCAUCGAAUGAGCACAUACUCGGAAUGUGACUCCCAUUGGCUAGCCAGGGGCCUUACAAUUCGUGUUGAGAGUUUCUCGACCAACCGAUUCCAGGUAUCGAGGGGCAAACCAAGCUGGAGUCCAGUCAACUGCAUUGAUCGAAUCUUAACACUCUAAAAUAAAUGAGCUGAAUCUAAUUGCCCCUUUGCCACACUAGCUGUUGGCUUAUAUAUGGGAUAAUAUGGGAGAGUAGCAGCCGCAGUUGCGAUUUGAGAAAGGUAGAAAUAUCAAAAGAGAAAUUGAAAUUUAAAAAACCUAGGCGGAAAAAUGUACCAGCAUGUAAAGGAAACAUCCCGGUGUUCAAUUGAGUUAAAAUUGUUUUUCAUUUUUAGUGCAGCGACUGUUACUGCUGGCUGUGUAAAAGCCAGUGCCGCGUGAAUGCAAAGGCACUAUUAAGCCCAUUUAAUGCUGAUACUGCAGUCACGUCCAUGACAAUAAAAUAAAAGACUAUAAAUUAAACUA
Molecule: long non-coding RNA, 965 nt
Organism: Drosophila novamexicana
Lineage: Eukaryota; Metazoa; Arthropoda; Insecta; Diptera; Drosophilidae
Exons: 2
Source: RefSeq, a predicted model, not a curated record